AUGCAAAUCUGCUGUGCAUCCAGAGAGCAAAGUGGGAUGAUCUGUCACUACACCUGCAGCACCACGCUCGGAGGACAGCUCCUGCCUGCAGCUUCCAGACCCAGGAAGCCUGAGGGGAAGGAAGGAAGUACGGGCGAAAUCAUCAGAUUGGCUUCCCAGAUUUGGGAAUCUGAAGCGGGCCCACAUCUUCCGGCCAACUUCCAUUGAACUUCCCAGCACUCGAAAGGGACCGAAAUGGAGAGCAAAGGUAUGUGGUUGUCCCUAUCGGGGGACUUCCCGCUGCAUGUGCGUGUGGCCAAGGCAAUCCUCGGCGAGGGGACUGCAGUGCUUGGGGAGCGAGCAUCAUACUAGGUCGAUAGAGGAGGAGAUGCUAUGUCCAUUGCAGCACUGGGGAAGUGUGGCAGGAAGGCGACUUCUUUUUAACUCCCACAGCUUGGAAGACAGUGUUUAAUACUCCAUCAGUUGCGUAGUGAAGUGUGAUGAGUUUUUUGGGGGGAGGUGGGGAGAGUCCCCCCAAAAUGGAGGAGGAGGAGGAGGUAUGUGUUA
This 546-nucleotide small RNA is filed under the name Pan troglodytes (chimpanzee). RNAcentral's name for it is "retained intron". Lineage: Eukaryota; Metazoa; Chordata; Mammalia; Primates; Hominidae. The record is from RNAcentral.